UGUGUGUUGGUUGUAUUUGAGAAAGUUCAAGAUUGUUAAAAGGAAGAAUGAAUACUAAUGAUAGCUUAAGGUUAGCCAGUUUAUAGCACUCAAUGCACCUAUUCCUUAGUCGCUUUUAUAAAACCAUGUAUAAUUUUAUUUUCUAUUUUUGUGAAUUUUUAUGAAUUUUUAUGAAUUUUUAUAUAUUUUCUGUAUUGUAUACUUAUUAUAUUAAUAAAAUGAUAUAAAUAUUUGUUGUGAAUCUUUUGUUUUUGUAAAAUUUUAUGAGUUUUUAUUAUUUGUUUUGAAUUUUUAUGAAUUGUUUUUAUAUUUUAUAUUUUAUAUUUUCUUUAUUUUAUAUUUAUUUUAUGAAUAG
This 355-nucleotide long non-coding RNA is filed under the name Brassica napus (rape). RNAcentral's name for it is "long non-coding RNA (BNAP_LNC023872)". Lineage: Eukaryota; Viridiplantae; Streptophyta; Magnoliopsida; Brassicales; Brassicaceae. The record is from RNAcentral.